RNAcentral lists this ribosomal RNA (468 nucleotides) under uncultured bacterium. Its description in RNAcentral is "partial 16S ribosomal RNA". It matches the Rfam family "Bacterial small subunit ribosomal RNA", at positions 28 to 507 of the family's 1533-position model. The record is from RNAcentral.
GACGAACGCUGGCGGCGUGCUUAACACAUGCAAGUCGAACGGAAAGGCCCUGCUUUUGUGGGGUGCUCGAGUGGCGAACGGGUGAGUAACACGUGAGUAACCUGCCCUUGACUUUGGGAUAACUUCAGGAAACUGGGGCUCAUACCGGAUAGGAGCUCCUGCUGCAUGGGGGGGGUUGGAAAGUUUCGGCGGUUGGGGAUGGACUCGCGGCUUAUCAGCUUGUUGGUGGGGUAGUGGCUUACCAAGGCUUUGACGGGUAGCCGGCCUGGGAGGGUGACCGGCCACAUUGGGACUGAGGUACGGCCCAGACUCCUACGGGAGGCAGCAGUGGGGAAUAUUGCACAAUGGGCGGAAGCCUGAUGCAGCAACGCCGCGUGCGGGAUGACGGCCUUCGGGUUGUAAACCGCUUUCGCCUGUGACGAAGCGUGAGUGACGGUAAUGGGUAAAGAAGCACCGGCUAACUACGUG